Molecule: long non-coding RNA, 211 nt
Filed under: Elaeis guineensis (African oil palm)
Lineage: Eukaryota; Viridiplantae; Streptophyta; Magnoliopsida; Arecales; Arecaceae
Description: long non-coding RNA (EGUI_LNC029588)
Source: RNAcentral
GUUCUGUCAGUGCUGUCAGCCUUGAUUGCUGAAGUAUUCGACAAAUCCCUUCCUUUGGGCCUCAGUCAUUGCCAGCUGCCAUGAUCAUUUGUAGGCACUCUUGAGAUCUAGUCGGAAUAGGUUGGUUGGCCCUAUUUUGCUUUGGCUAAUCUCCUAUCGCACCUAAUUGCCGUGCUCCUUCACCAUGGAUAGCGGCCACCAUCUGCCCCCU